Molecule: non-coding RNA, 45 nt
Filed under: Trichobilharzia regenti
Lineage: Eukaryota; Metazoa; Platyhelminthes; Trematoda; Strigeidida; Schistosomatidae
Source: RNAcentral
AUCCAGCUGACGGAUCCCAAAUAAGACGAAAUGUGCAUCCUGGAU